AUUGAACGCUGGCGGCAUGCUUUACACAUGCGAGUCGAACGGCAGCACGGGCUUCGGCCUGGUGGCGAGUGGCGAACGGGUGAGUAAUAUAUCGGAACGUACCCAGAAGUGGGGGAUAACGUAGCGAAAGUUACGCUAAUACCGCAUACGAUCUAUGGAUGAAAGCAGGGGACCGCAAGGCCUUGUGCUCCUGGAGCGGCCGAUAUCUGAUUAGCUAGUUGGUGAGGUAAAGGCUCACCAAGGCGACGAUCAGUAGCUGGUCUGAGAGGACGACCAGCCACACUGGAACUGAGACACGGUCCAGACUCCUACGGGAGGCAGCAGUGGGGAAUUUUGGACAAUGGGCGCAAGCCUGAUCCAGCAAUGCCGCGUGAGUGAAGAAGGCCUUCGGGUUGUAAAGCUCUUUUGUCAGGGAAGAAACGGUAGAGGCUAAUAUCCUUUGCUAAUGACGGUACCUGAAGAAUAAGCACCGGCUAACUACGUG
RNAcentral lists this ribosomal RNA (484 nucleotides) under uncultured bacterium. Its description in RNAcentral is "partial 16S ribosomal RNA". It matches the Rfam family "Bacterial small subunit ribosomal RNA", at positions 30 to 507 of the family's 1533-position model. The record is from RNAcentral.